Molecule: long non-coding RNA, 715 nt
Organism: Cyprinus carpio carpio
Lineage: Eukaryota; Metazoa; Chordata; Actinopteri; Cypriniformes; Cyprinidae
Source: Ensembl
AACCAAAUGGAAAAAUGACCAGUGCUGAGAACUAGCAAUAGGUUUGUGAAUGCGAAAGGGUGUUUUUCCUCUAAAUGUCUACUGAAUAUUAAGCGCCAUCCCCUGGGUGUUGUUUGAAAUGCUCCCGUAGUUUUAUCUCCAUAAUGACUCCAUCAAAUUACCUUAGCUCAGUGUUACAAUUUCUCAGCUCCCUAUAAUCGUCUGGUUCAGAACUCAUCGCAGUGGAGGCCAAAGGUUCCUCCUGCAGAGAGAGGGUGUAACCUGUUAAAAGCAGAGAGAGAGACAAGAGAUGGGAGCUGGUGGAGGGGGCUCUGUUUGUAAUGAGCUUGGCGUGUGUCCAGUCUCGGAGCUGUGAGCUUAAAACUCUCCGUCAGGUUGAGUGAGGUUUCCAGUGAAAUCACUGAGCUGCAAACAAGCCGAUCUUAACAAGAAAAUCUAAAUUCACACCCGUGCUCCAUCGCUUAUGAGAAAGAAGAGAGGAGAGAGAGGAAGAGAGUGCAAAAAUAAAGGAACAGAAAAAGAUUACAAAAAGGUUUUAUGUCAUGUAAAAUGAGAGAUUUAUCCCAUAUUAAAAGAGUUUGCAGGAAUUUCCCAUUGUGCCUUCACUUGGAUCAGACCUGUCUGUUCUGUAAACUCAGUUUAGAGAAGUAUUGUGGGCUUUGAGAUAAAAGAACUGACAGAGAUAAUCUUACACACACACACACACACACACACA